UACGAAGGGGACUAGCGUUGUUCGGAAUUACUGGGCGUAAAGGGCUCGUAGGCGGCCAACUAAGUCGGACGUGAAAUCCCUCGGCUUAACCGGGGAACUGCGUCCGAUACUGGAUGGCUCGAGUUUGGGAGAGGGAUGCGGAAUUCCAGGUGUAGCGGUGAAAUGCGUAGAUAUCUGGAGGAACACCGGUGGCGAAGGCGGCAUCCUGGACCAACACUGACGCUGAGGAGCGAAAGCCAGGGGAGCAAACGGG
RNAcentral lists this ribosomal RNA (253 nucleotides) under uncultured bacterium. RNAcentral describes it as "partial 16S ribosomal RNA". It matches the Rfam family "Bacterial small subunit ribosomal RNA", at positions 524 to 776 of the family's 1533-position model. The record is from RNAcentral.